This 646-nucleotide ribosomal RNA is filed under the name uncultured bacterium. RNAcentral describes it as "bacterial SSU rRNA". It matches the Rfam family "Bacterial small subunit ribosomal RNA", at positions 8 to 625 of the family's 1533-position model. The record is from RNAcentral.
AGAGUUUGAUCCUGGCUCAGAACGAACGCUGGCGGCGUGCUUAACACAUGCAAGUCGAACGCGAAAGUUUUCUUCGGAAAAUGAGUAGAGUGGCGCACGGGUGAGUAACGCGUAAAUAAUCUACCCCUGCAUUCGGGAUAACCCACCGAAAGGUGUGCUAAUACCGGAUACGUUCUUUAAACUGCGAGGUUUAAAGAAGAAAGGUGGCCUCUGAUAUAAGCUACUGUGCGGGGAGGAGUUUGCGUACCAUUAGCUAGUUGGUAGGGUAAUGGCCUACCAAGGCAACGAUGGUUAGCGGGUCUGAGAGGAUGAUCCGCCACACUGGAACUGGAACACGGACCAGACUCCUACGGGAGGCAGCAGUGAGGAAUAUUGCGCAAUGGGGGCAACCCUGACGCAGCGACGCCGCGUGGAUGAUGAAGGCCUUCGGGUCGUAAAAUCCUGUCAGAUGGAAAGAAAUGUAUAUGUAUUAAUAGUAUGUAUGCUUGACGGUACCAUCAAAGGAAGCACCGGCUAACUCCGUGCCAGCAGCCCGCGGUAAUACGGAGGGUGCAAGCGUUGUUCGGAAUUACUGGGCGUAAAGCGCGCGUAGGUGGGUCUGUUAUGUCAGAUGNNGAAAGUCCACGGCUCAACCGGUGGAAGUGCA